This is a long non-coding RNA of Manis pentadactyla (Chinese pangolin), 1013 nucleotides long. RefSeq lists it as uncharacterized. The record is from RefSeq and is a predicted model, not a curated record. The transcript is spliced from 3 exons. NCBI's taxonomy places the organism in Eukaryota, Metazoa, Chordata, Mammalia, Pholidota, Manidae.
CAGCUCCAGGAAAAUGAAAAGACUACUUGAGACCAAGGACUAAGAGUCCUGGGUGUGAGGUCCCAACUGGCCAUUAGCCCCUGGGGGUCUCAUUCUCAGAGUCUCAGUUCCUCUGUCAUCUAAUGAAAUGUGCUGGUGACCAUCACUAAACUGCCUCCUCUCAAGACUCCCGAGUUGUCCCUUAAGGUUGCAUACCCUCCUUCCUGACUCACUCCCCUGUGACCUUAGCCUGGGUCCUGCAAGGGGUCCCAGGGCUUUCUUGCCUUCAUAGCUCCUGACUCACCCAGCCCUUGGACAGACCCUCACAGACAGACUAGGCAAGGGAGAUGCACUCCUCUUUCACUCUCCGCUUCCACAGAGGGAAGCAGAGCUGGGACUCUCCUUUUGUGAGUGGGGGCACUCUGCCAGAGGCCCCGUGGGUGCUGCCCCUCCAUCCCAGCAGGCCUGGGUUGAUGACAUUGCAAUUGCCCUCAGAGCGGACUCUGCACCGCUCUACUGCACAUCUUUCUUCAUCGGGCAAAUAAAUACAGCAAAGUGAGCUCUACACAGAAAUAGCUUGUGUGCUCCACUUGGCGCUGGCUCACAGAUCUAAGCAAGACCUGUUUUGUUUGCUCAUUUCCCUGCUGAGACAAAUCAGUCCUGAUGAUCAGAAUGGAAGGUGGAGGUAGAGGACGGAAUGGAACGGGUGCCUGGGAAUAAAUGUCAGAGAGAUGGAAACCCAGUUUCCUGAAAUGAAAGAAAUGGGGCUGCAUCACCACAGCAUCUGAAAGCUUGGGCCUGGAAUGGAGCCCAAACUCUACUCUCUAAGCAACUGUUGCCAAACAUCUCCUUGGAGCAGCCCUGAGCCCCGAUCUACCUGUCAAGAUGGCAUUUGGACAGAAUGAGCUGGGACCCGAAAACUCAUCUCAUCCCGGCCCUCACUGUAUCAAUGAGGAGGCUGCCCACCCUCAGACCUGGCCAUGUCAGCUGUACUCCCCAGUGGGCAAUUCACUCGUACCUCCUCUGACUGCCUC